GUUGACCUGUUUGGUAAAUUUUAGAAUACUUGUGUUCAAUAUACGUUCCCAGUGGAAUUACAUUCUUACACAGAGCAGAGAUGUACAUAUUUCAAGUCCAGUGUUUACAGCAUCACUACAGAGAAGAAAAGCUGGAGUGCGAGCAGACAGGACUGUAAACAGAGAGGAGCAGAUCUGGUGAUCAUUGACAGCAAAGAGGAACAGAUAUGAGGUACACUAAUGUCUUCCCACCAACAAACUGCCAGUAGGUGAAAUGGCUACUUUAAAGUGCACUAAAUGUUAGUGAACAGAUAAGCGUGUUGACCUUCGCUGGAUUGGCACUUCCACCCUGAGUUCAGUGUUGUUAGGACAGACUCCAGGUACUUCAGCCCAGCAGGAAGUGGUUACAGAAGAUAAAUAAAUCCAUGAUAUCUUGGACAGUGUCAGUCCAUUACAG
Molecule: long non-coding RNA, 436 nt
Organism: Trichomycterus rosablanca
Lineage: Eukaryota; Metazoa; Chordata; Actinopteri; Siluriformes; Trichomycteridae
Exons: 3
Source: RefSeq, a predicted model, not a curated record